This 253-nucleotide ribosomal RNA is filed under the name uncultured bacterium. RNAcentral describes it as "partial 16S ribosomal RNA". It matches the Rfam family "Bacterial small subunit ribosomal RNA", at positions 524 to 776 of the family's 1533-position model. The record is from RNAcentral.
UACGUAGGGGGCAAGCGUUAUCCGGAUUCACUGGGUGUAAAGGGAGCGUAGACGGCCAUGCAAGCCCGGAGUGAAAGCCCGGGGCCCAACCCCGGGACUGCUCUGGGAACUGUGCGGCUGGAGUGCGGGAGGGGCAGGCGGAAUUCCUGGUGUAGCGGUGAAAUGCGUAGAUAUUAGGAGGAACACCAGUGGCGAAGGCGGCUUACUGGACGGCAACUGACGCUGAGGCUCGAAAGCGUGGGGAGCAAACAGG